Molecule: RNase P RNA, 338 nt
Filed under: Clostridia bacterium
Lineage: Bacteria; Bacillati; Bacillota; Clostridia
Description: RNase P RNA component class A
Rfam family: Bacterial RNase P class A
About the family: Ribonuclease P (RNase P) is a ubiquitous endoribonuclease, found in archaea, bacteria and eukarya as well as chloroplasts and mitochondria. Its best characterised activity is the generation of mature 5'-ends of tRNAs by cleaving the 5'-leader elements of precursor-tRNAs. Cellular RNase Ps are ribonucleoproteins.
Source: RNAcentral
AAAACAUUUUGAGCGAUCGCGAGCAUCAAACGAAAGGCGAUGCUUGAGGAAAGUCCGGGCUCCCACGGGAAAGAAUAACGGAUAACGUCCGCCGAAGGUGACUUCCGAGAAAGUGCAACAGAAAACAACCGCCGCAAGGUAAGGGUGAAAAGGCGAGGUAAGAGCUCACCGGAGGGAUGGUAACACCCCUCGCUGUGUAAACCUUAUUCGGAGCAAUGCCGUGACGUACCCUAUGGCCUCCCGUCCGGGGUACAGAGGCAGCUGGAGGCACCGAGCAAUCGGUGUUCGAGAUAGAUGAUCGCAUAAAACAGAACCCGGCUUACGGAAAUGUUUUGUAU